GAUCAUUUUGUAUUACUGUGCAUUGGUCUUCAAUCUGGGAAGACUUCAAAAUGAGGUAUUUAAAGAACAAAAAAAAAAAAUAAAAGCCAUGAAUCUUUUUAAGCUUAGUGUAUAAAAACACGAGUUAUAACUCAUGGGCACAGCU
Sorex fumeus (smoky shrew) is the source of this 145-nucleotide non-coding RNA. RefSeq annotates it as small Cajal body-specific RNA 1. The transcript has a single exon. Lineage: Eukaryota; Metazoa; Chordata; Mammalia; Eulipotyphla; Soricidae. The record is from RefSeq and is a predicted model, not a curated record.